This 65-nucleotide transfer RNA is filed under the name Milichus apicalis. RNAcentral's name for it is "tRNA-His". Lineage: Eukaryota; Metazoa; Arthropoda; Insecta; Coleoptera; Scarabaeidae. The record is from RNAcentral.
AUUUAAAUAGUUUAUUAAAAAUAUUGAUUUGUGAUAUCAAAGAUGCAAUUUUUUUGUUUUAAGUA